UACGACUACAUAUCAGGCAUAUCAAUAAGCGGAGGAAAAGAAACUAACUAGGAUUCCCUAGUAACGGCGAGUGAAGCGGGAAGAGCUCAAAUUUGAAAUCUUAAAGGUUUCCCUUGACGAAUUGUAGUUUAAAGAAGUGUUUUCUGUUGGAGUUUCGGUAAAAGUUCUUUGGAAUAGGACAUCAUAGAGGGUGAGAAUCCCGUAUUUGACCAUUUACUUUCCAGCUGUGUGAUACACUUUCAAAGAGUCGGAUUGUUUGGGAAUGCAGUCCAAAAUGGGUGGUAAAUUUCAUCUAAAGCUAAUAUUGGCGAGAGACCGAUAGCGAACAAGUACCGUGAGGGAAAGAUGAAAAGAACUUUGAAAAGAGAGUUAAACAGUACGUGAAAUUGUCAAAAGGGAAGCGUUUGACACCAGUGUUGUUUAGUUGAAAAUCAAUUAAAUAGUUUUCGAUUUUAAGUAGUAUUGACCUUAUCAGCUUGCUGCUUUUUUCUCGGAAAUUAUUUAAUGCACUUUUCAGUUAACAAGUCAACAUCAAUUUCUUUUGUUGUAAAAAGGUAAGAGGAAGGUGGCUUGCGCUUCGGCUCAAGUGUUUAUAGCCUUUUACCCCUGCAAUCGGAGAGAUUGAGGUCUGCAGCGUAGAUCCUUCGGGGUUAGAUACAUUUGUGCUAAGCUAUAGCCUUGUAUAGACAACUUGUUGACUAUGCUCAGUCAUGUAGCUUACUCGCUUAUGCUAUUUUACCUACGCUUAGGAUGUUGAAUCUGUGCGAGACUAC
RNAcentral lists this ribosomal RNA (773 nucleotides) under uncultured Neocallimastigales. RNAcentral's name for it is "partial large subunit ribosomal RNA". It matches the Rfam family "Eukaryotic large subunit ribosomal RNA", at positions 24 to 644 of the family's 3401-position model. The record is from RNAcentral. Lineage: Eukaryota; Fungi; Neocallimastigomycota; Neocallimastigomycetes; Neocallimastigales.